UUCCAAAAACAUAUUCACUAGAAUUUAUUAUUGAUAUAUCCUGCUCAAUGAUCAAUUAAAUAGCCGCAGUUCAUACUGUGCUAAGGUAGCAUAAUCACUUGUCUUCUAAUUAAAGACUGGAAUGAAAGGAUAAACAUUUAAGUUAUUAUAGAACUUUUCAUAUUUUAACUUAUUAAAAAUGUAAAAAAACAUUUAUUCUUUAGAAAGACGAAAAGACCCUAUUGAACUUUACUGAAGUUUAACUGGGGCAGUUAAUUAAUUAUUAUUUUAAUAACUUUAAUCAAAAAAAAAUGACCUGAUUUAAUCAAUUGAAUGAUCAAGUUACCAUAGGGAUAACAGCGCAAUAUAUUUUUAUAGCUCUCAUACAAAAAUAAGAUUACGACCUCGAUGUUGAAUUAAUUUAUCUAAUUCAAUGCAACCAUUAAAUUAGAAAGUCUGUUCGACUUUUAAACAAUUACAUGAUCUGAG
Molecule: ribosomal RNA, 468 nt
Filed under: Delena gloriosa
Lineage: Eukaryota; Metazoa; Arthropoda; Arachnida; Araneae; Sparassidae
Description: partial 16S ribosomal RNA
Rfam family: Bacterial large subunit ribosomal RNA
Source: RNAcentral